AUUGAACGCUGGCGGCAUGCUUUACACAUGCAAGUCGAACGGUAACAGGGAGCUUGCUCCGCUGACGAGUGGCGAACGGGUGAGUAAUAUAUCGGAACGUACCCAAGAGUGGGGGAUAACGUAGCGAAAGUUACGCUAAUACCGCAUACGAUCUAUGGAUGAAAGCAGGGGACCUUCGGGCCUUGUGCUCCUGGAGCGGCCGAUAUCUGAUUAGCUAGUUGGUGAGGUAAAGGCUCACCAAGGCGACGAUCAGUAGCUGGUCUGAGAGGACGACCAGCCAAACUGGAACUGAGACACGGUCCAGAGUCCUACGGGAGGCAGCAGUGGGGAAUUUUGGACAAUGGGCGCAAGCCUGAUCCAGCAAUGCCGCGUGAGUGAAGAAGGCCUUCGGGUUGUAAAGCUCUUUUGUCAGGGAAGAAACGGCUGUGGCUAAUAUCCACGGCUAAUGACGGUACCUGAAGAAUAAGCACCGGCUAACUACGUGCCAGCCGCCGCAGUAA
This 500-nucleotide ribosomal RNA is filed under the name uncultured bacterium. Its description in RNAcentral is "partial 16S ribosomal RNA". It matches the Rfam family "Bacterial small subunit ribosomal RNA", at positions 30 to 523 of the family's 1533-position model. The record is from RNAcentral.